This 327-nucleotide ribosomal RNA is filed under the name uncultured eukaryote. RNAcentral describes it as "partial 18S ribosomal RNA". It matches the Rfam family "Eukaryotic small subunit ribosomal RNA", at positions 1470 to 1796 of the family's 1831-position model. The record is from RNAcentral.
CCCUUAGAUGUUCUGGGCCGCACACGCGCUACACUGAAGGAGGCAGCGUGUACUCCUGGAUCGAAAGAUUUGGGUAACCCGCGAAUCUCCUUCGUGCUAGGGAUUGAGGUUUGCAAUUAUCCUUCAUGAACGAGGUAUUCCCAGUAAGUGCAAGUCAUAAGCUUGCGCUGACUACGUCCCUGCCCUUUGUACACACCGCCCGUCGCUACUACCGAUUGAAUGAUUUAGUGAGGACUUCGGACUGGGACCGAUGCGGCUUUCGGGCUGCGUCGGUAUUCUGGAAAGAUGUCCAAACUGUAUCAUUUAGAGGAAGUAAAAGUCGUAACA